This 466-nucleotide ribosomal RNA is filed under the name uncultured bacterium. RNAcentral's name for it is "bacterial SSU rRNA". It matches the Rfam family "Bacterial small subunit ribosomal RNA", at positions 338 to 795 of the family's 1533-position model. The record is from RNAcentral.
CCUACGGGGGGCUGCAGCUAAGAAUCUUCCGCAAUGGGAGGAAUCCUGACGGAGCGACGCCGCGUGAACGAUGAAGGCAGAAAUGUUGUAAAGUUCUUUUGUAUGGGAAGAAUAAAGAUAGGAGUGGAAAGCCUAUCUGAUGACGGUACCAUACGAAUAAGCCACGGCUAACUACGUGCCAGCAGCCGCGGUAAUACGUAGGUGGCAAGCGUUGUUCGGAAUCAUUGGGCGUAAAGGGCAUGUAGGUGGUUUUGUAAGUGUGGGUUGAAAUACCGAAGCUUAACUUCGAGUAUGGCCUGCAAACUGCAAGACUGGAGUGUAGAAGGGGAGACUGGAAUUCCGCGUGUAGGGGUGAAAUCUGUAGAUAUGCGGAAGAAUACCUGUGGCGAAGGCGAGUCUCUGGUCUACAACUGACACUGAAAUGCGAAAGUGUGGGGAGCAAACAGGCUUAGAUACCCUAGUAGUC